This 81-nucleotide transfer RNA is filed under the name Mycobacterium paraintracellulare. RNAcentral's name for it is "tRNA-Asp". The record is from RNAcentral. Lineage: Bacteria; Bacillati; Actinomycetota; Actinomycetes; Mycobacteriales; Mycobacteriaceae.
UGCCGGGCAGGCCGCGCGGGUCGGGGCGUUGUCGGUGCCCCAGCAUUGGGCGACGCUGACCUCGGCGGUCAGCCCGGCGAC